UGCUCUGUGAUGGAGGGAUUGCAAUGC
RNAcentral lists this non-coding RNA (27 nucleotides) under Homo sapiens (human). The record is from RNAcentral. Lineage: Eukaryota; Metazoa; Chordata; Mammalia; Primates; Hominidae.